UUUAUAUCACUGUUAUUUGUACUAAUCAUCAAAGAAUCAAGUUAUGGUGAAUGUCUUUGGCCUAGGUGCCAAAGACGAUAUGAUUGUUAAGUGUCUUUGGUCGGUAUGGCAAGGACACGUGGUGAAGAAUUCUCUUUGGCCCGUAGUGCAAAGAUGGACCGUUGAUUGACAUGAUCAUGAUCAUUGGUGUUACAAUUGAAUAUCUUUUGCCCGUAGUGCAAAGAUGAACUGUUGAUUUGCAUGAUUAUGAUCAUAAAAUAUUUAUUGGUGUUAU
Molecule: long non-coding RNA, 274 nt
Filed under: Panax ginseng (ginseng)
Lineage: Eukaryota; Viridiplantae; Streptophyta; Magnoliopsida; Apiales; Araliaceae
Description: long non-coding RNA (PGIN_LNC008848)
Source: RNAcentral